Molecule: long non-coding RNA, 343 nt
Organism: Olea europaea var. sylvestris
Lineage: Eukaryota; Viridiplantae; Streptophyta; Magnoliopsida; Lamiales; Oleaceae
Exons: 2
Source: RefSeq, a predicted model, not a curated record
UCUCAAAAUCAAAAGGAGAUGCUUAAGCUGCUAGUUACUGAUAUGAAGCCACUUUCUGUUCGGGACAUUGUCCACAAUGGAGCCACUUUCCAGCUUUGUUGGCCAUCGUGAAUUGUGUGGCGAGCAAAUCGAAGAGUGCAUGAAGGACAAUAUGAUUGAGUAUGCCGUUAGAGUAUUAUCCGGAAGCUUGGUAUUGCAAGUGUGGCAACAAGCUCUUCAUGCCUAAGCUGUAUCAAAAUUUUAUUCCUAGUUUUGUUUCACUUUGAAGCUCCUUUGUAUUUAGGUGAUGUUGUAUCACAUUCUAAUGUUCAAGUGUAUGCAAUUCCAAAAUUUGUUCAGGAGA